RNAcentral lists this ribosomal RNA (376 nucleotides) under uncultured bacterium. RNAcentral's name for it is "bacterial SSU rRNA". It matches the Rfam family "Bacterial small subunit ribosomal RNA", at positions 524 to 898 of the family's 1533-position model. The record is from RNAcentral.
UACGUAGGGGGCGAGCGUUAUCCGGAGUUACUGGGCGUAAAGCGUCCGCAGGCGGUCCGGUAAGUUUGAAGUGACAGUGCUCGGCUUAACUGAGUAAGUGCUUUGAAAACUGCCAGACUUGAGGGUCCGAGAGGAAGAUGGAAUUCCAGGUGGAGCGGUGAAAUGCGUAGAGAUCUGGAGGAACACCAAAGGCGAAGGCAAUCUUCUGGAGGACACCUGACGCUAAGGGACGAAAGCUAGGGGAGCGAACGGGAUUAGAUACCCCGGUAGUCCUAGCCGUAAACGAUGACCACUAGAUGUACGGGGUAUCGACCCCCCGUGUGUCGGCGUUAACACACUAAGUGGUCCGCCUGGGGAGUACGGUCGCAAGAUUAAA